UGAGGGUGCAAGCGUUAAUCGGAAUUACUGGGCGUAAAGCGCACGCAGGCGGUCUGUCAAGUCGGAUGUGAAAUCCCCGGGCUUAACCUGGGAACUGCAUUCGAAACUGGCAGGCUAGAGUCUUGUAGAGGGGGGUAGAAUUCCAGGUGUAGCGGUGAAAUGCGUAGAGAUCUGGAGGAAUACCGGUGGCGAAGGCGGCCCCCUGGACAAAGACUGACGCUCAGGUGCGAAAGCGUGGGGAGCAAACAGGAUUAGAUACCCUGGUAGUCCACGCCGUAAACGAUGUCGACUUGGAGGUUGUUCCCUUGAGGAGUGGCUUCCGGAGCUAACGCGUUAAGUCGACCGCCUGGGGAGUACGGCCGCAAGGUUAAAACUCAAAUGAAUUGACGGGGGCCCGCACAAGCGGUGGAGCAUGUGGUUUAAUUCGAUGCAACGCGAAGAACCUUACCUACUCUUGACAUCCAGAGAACUUAGCAGAGAUGCUUUGGUGCCUUCGGGAACUCUGAGACAGGUGC
Molecule: ribosomal RNA, 515 nt
Filed under: bacterium symbiont of Megymenum gracilicorne
Lineage: Bacteria
Description: bacterial SSU rRNA
Rfam family: Bacterial small subunit ribosomal RNA
Source: RNAcentral